AGAGUUUGAUCCUGGCUCAGAGUGAACGCUGGCGGCGUGCCUAACACAUGCAAGUCGAACGAUGAUGGAGAGCUUGCUCUCUUGAUUAGUGGCGCACGGGUGAGUAUACCAUAGAUAAUGUACCUCUUAGUUUGGGAUAGCCACUGGAAACGGUGAUUAAUACCAGAUACUCCUUCUCGUUAUAAGACGAGUCGGGAAAGUUUUUUCGCUAAGAGAUCAGUCUAUGUCCUAUCAGCUAGUUGGUGAGGUAAUGGCUCACCAAGGCUAUGACGGGUAUCUGGUUUGAGAGGAUGAUCAGACACACUGGAACUGAGACACGGUCCAGACUCCUACGGGAGGCAGCAGUGAGGAAUAUUGCACAAUGGAGGAAACUCUGAUGCAGCAACGCCGCGUGGAGGAUGACGCAUUUCGGUGUGUAAACUCCUUUUAAGAGGGAAGAUAAUGACGGUACCUCUUGAAUAAGCACCGGCUAACUCCGUGCCAGCAGCCGCGGUAAUACGGAGGGUGCGAGCGUUGUUCGGAUUUAUUGGGCGUAAAGCGCGUGUAGGCGGUUUUAUAAGUCUGAUGUGAAAGCCCCGGGCUCAACCUGGGAAGUGCAUUGGAUACUGUAAGACUUGAAUACGGGAGAGGGCAGUGGAAUUCCUAGUGUAGGAGUGAAAUCCGUAGAUAUUAGGAGGAACACCGGUGGCGAAGGCGGCUGCCUGGACCGAUAUUGACGCUGAGACGCGAAAGCGUGGGUAGCAAACAGGAUUAGAUACCCUGGUAGUCC
This 769-nucleotide ribosomal RNA is filed under the name uncultured bacterium. Its description in RNAcentral is "bacterial SSU rRNA". It matches the Rfam family "Bacterial small subunit ribosomal RNA", at positions 8 to 796 of the family's 1533-position model. The record is from RNAcentral.